This 92-nucleotide non-coding RNA is filed under the name Schistosoma japonicum. Lineage: Eukaryota; Metazoa; Platyhelminthes; Trematoda; Strigeidida; Schistosomatidae. The record is from RNAcentral.
CUAUCGAGCCUCUCCAACGAUGACUGAUGGUAAUAUGGUCUAUUUGAGUCCAUCGUUGUCUUGGUGAAGGAAGUCGCCACGUUAGGCGAUGU